GAUGAAGAACGCAGCGAAAUGCGAUACGUAAUGUGAAUUGCAGAAUUCAGUGAAUCAUCGAGUCUUUGAACGCACAUUGCGCCCCCUGGUAUUCCGGGGGGCAUGCCUGUCCGAGCGUCAUUGCUGCCCUCAAGCCCGGCUUGUGUGUUGGGUCUCGUCCCCCUUCCCGGGGGGACGGGCCCGAAAGGCAGCGGCGGCACCGCGUCCGGUCCUCGAGCGUAUGGGGCUUUGUCACCCGCUCUGUAGGCCCGGCCGGCGCUUGCCGAUCAACCAAAACUUUUUUCCAGGUUGACCUCGGAUCAGGUAGGGAUACCCGCUGAACUCAAGCAUAUCAAUAAGCGGAGGA
This 346-nucleotide unclassified non-coding RNA is filed under the name soil metagenome. Its description in RNAcentral is "partial contains 5.8S ribosomal RNA, internal transcribed spacer 2, and large subunit ribosomal RNA". The stretch from base 1 to 120 matches the Rfam family "5.8S ribosomal RNA", at positions 35 to 154 of the family's 154-position model. The record is from RNAcentral.